RNAcentral lists this ribosomal RNA (404 nucleotides) under bacterium Ellin5256. Its description in RNAcentral is "bacterial SSU rRNA". It matches the Rfam family "Bacterial small subunit ribosomal RNA", at positions 29 to 458 of the family's 1533-position model. Lineage: Bacteria; Pseudomonadati; Pseudomonadota; Alphaproteobacteria; Hyphomicrobiales; Nitrobacteraceae. The record is from RNAcentral.
AGCGAACGCUGCCGGCAGGCUUAACACAUGCAAGUCGAGCGGGCGUAGCAAUACGUCAGCGGCAGACGGGUGAGUAACGCGUGGAAACAUACCUUUUGGUUCGGAACAACACAGGGAAACUUGUGCUAAUACCGGAUAAGCCCUUACGGGGAAAGAUUUAUCGCCGAAAGAUUGGCCCGCGUCUGAUUAGCUAGUUGGUGAGGUAAUGGCUCACCAAGGCGACGAUCAGUAGCUGGUCUGAGAGGAUGAUCAGCCACAUUGGGACUGAGACACGGCCCAAACUCCUACGGGAGGCAGCAGUGGGGAAUAUUGGACAAUGGGCGCAAGCCUGAUCCAGCCAUGCCGCGUGAGUGAUGAAGGCCCUAGGGUUGUAAAGCUCUUUUGUGCGGGAAGAUAAUGACGGU